UUCUGACCGUAAACGAUGCCAACUAGCGAUCCGCCGGCGGAUUCCAAACGCCCUGGUGGGGAGCUUCCCGGAAACGAAAGUCUUCCGGUUCCGGGGGAAGUAUGGUUGCAAAGCUGAAACUUAAAGGAAUUGACGGAAGGGCACCACCAGGAGUGGAGCCUGCGGCUUAAUUUGACUCAACACGGGAAAACUCACCCGGCCCGGACACCGCGAGGAUUGACAGAUUGAUAGCUCUUUCAUGAUUCGGUGGAUGGUGGUGCAUGGCCGUUCUUAGUUCGUGGAGCGAUUUGUCUGGUUUAUUCCGAUAACGAGCGAGACUCUAGCCUACUAACUAGUCCGCAUGUUCCUUGUGCUGCAUGCUAACGGACUUCUUAGAGGGAUUUUCGGCGUUUCAGCCGCACGAAACUGAGCAAUAACAGGUCUGUGAUGCCCUUAGAUGUCCGGGGCUGCACGCGCGCUACACUGGCGAAAUCAGCGUGCCUGUCCUCUCGCGAAAGCGAUUGGUAAACCGGUGAAAAUUCGCCGUGAUUGGGAUCGGGAAUUGCAACUAUUUUCCGUGAACGAGGAAUUCCAAGUAAGUGCGAGUCAUCAACUCGCGUUG
RNAcentral lists this ribosomal RNA (601 nucleotides) under unidentified nematode. Its description in RNAcentral is "SSU rRNA". It matches the Rfam family "Eukaryotic small subunit ribosomal RNA", at positions 1024 to 1643 of the family's 1831-position model. Lineage: Eukaryota; Metazoa; Nematoda. The record is from RNAcentral.